RNAcentral lists this ribosomal RNA (1030 nucleotides) under Staphylococcus aureus. RNAcentral describes it as "bacterial SSU rRNA". It matches the Rfam family "Bacterial small subunit ribosomal RNA", at positions 1 to 1012 of the family's 1533-position model. Lineage: Bacteria; Bacillati; Bacillota; Bacilli; Caryophanales; Staphylococcaceae. The record is from RNAcentral.
UUUAUGGAGAGUUUGAUCCUGGCUCAGGAUGAACGCUGGCGGCGUGCCUAAUACAUGCAAGUCGAGCGAACGGACGAGAAGCUUGCUUCUCUGAUGUUAGCGGCGGACGGGUGAGUAACACGUGGAUAACCUACCUAUAAGACUGGGAUAACUUCGGGAAACCGGAGCUAAUACCGGAUAAUAUUUUAAACCGCAUGGUUCAAAAGUGAAAGACGGUCUUGCUGUCACUUAUAGAUGGAUCCGCGCUGCAUUAGCUAGUUGGUAAGGUAACGGCUUACCAAGGCAACGAUGCAUAGCCGACCUGAGAGGGUGAUCGGCCACACUGGAACUGAGACACGGUCCAGACUCCUACGGGAGGCAGCAGUAGGGAAUCUUCCGCAAUGGGCGAAAGCCUGACGGAGCAACGCCGCGUGAGUGAUGAAGGUCUUCGGAUCGUAAAACUCUGUUAUUAGGGAAGAACAUAUGUGUAAGUAACUGUGCACAUCUUGACGGUACCUAAUCAGAAAGCCACGGCUAACUACGUGCCAGCAGCCGCGGUAAUACGUAGGUGGCAAGCGUUAUCCGGAAUUAUUGGGCGUAAAGCGCGCGUAGGCGGUUUUUUAAGUCUGAUGUGAAAGCCCACGGCUCAACCGUGGAGGGUCAUUGGAAACUGGAAAACUUGAGUGCAGAAGAGGAAAGUGGAAUUCCAUGUGUAGCGGUGAAAUGCGCAGAGAUAUGGAGGAACACCAGUGGCGAAGGCGACUUUCUGGUCUGUAACUGACGCUGAUGUGCGAAAGCGUGGGGAUCAAACAGGAUUAGAUACCCUGGUAGUCCACGCCGUAAACGAUGAGUGCUAAGUGUUAGGGGGUUUCCGCCCCUUAGUGCUGCAGCUAACGCAUUAAGCACUCCGCCUGGGGAGUACGACCGCAAGGUUGAAACUCAAAGGAAUUGACGGGGACCCGCACAAGCGGUGGAGCAUGUGGUUUAAUUCGAAGCAACGCGAAGAACCUUACCAAAUCUUGACAUCCUUUGACAACUCUAGAGAUAGAGC